UGCGGAGGAAGAGCGCGUUAUCCGGAAUCACUGGGUUUAAAGGGUGCGUAGGCGGCUUGGUAAGUAAGUUGUGAAAGCCCCUUGCAUAACGAGGGAGGUGCGCUUGAUACUGUCGAGCUUGAAUCGGGAUGAGGCAGGCGGAAUGUGGCAUGUAGCGGUGAAAUGCAUAGAUAUGCCAUAGAACACCGAUUGCGAAGGCAGUCUGCUGGGCCUGUAUUGACGAUGAUGCACGAAAGCGUUGGGAGCAAACAGG
RNAcentral lists this ribosomal RNA (253 nucleotides) under uncultured bacterium. RNAcentral describes it as "partial 16S ribosomal RNA". It matches the Rfam family "Bacterial small subunit ribosomal RNA", at positions 524 to 776 of the family's 1533-position model. The record is from RNAcentral.